Molecule: long non-coding RNA, 2477 nt
Organism: Oncorhynchus masou masou (cherry salmon)
Lineage: Eukaryota; Metazoa; Chordata; Actinopteri; Salmoniformes; Salmonidae
Exons: 4
Source: RefSeq, a predicted model, not a curated record
CCCUGAACAGGCAGUUAACCCUCUGUUCCAAGACCAGUUAACCCACUGUUCCUAGACCAGUUAACCCUCUGUUCCUAGACCAGUUAACACUCUGUUCCUAGACCAGUUAACACUCUGUGCCUAGACCAGUUAACCCUCUGUUCCUAGACCAGUUAACCCUCAGUUCCUAGACCAGUUAACCCUCAGUUCCUAGACCAGUUAACCCUCAGUUCCUAGACCAGUUAACCCUCUGUUCCGAGGCCGUCAUUGAAAAUAAGCAUUUGUUUACGUCCCUGUUCUUAACUGACUUGCCUAGUAAAAUAAAGGUAAAAAUAAAUGGUAGACACACCUAACCUCUGACCCCUCUCACAGAAAGCAGAGGAAAAUGAGCGUAAAUGGAAAAGAACCUCCACCCUACAACACACCAGUUGAAGGACAAGGUGAUAGUGGGGUGAAGGUAUAUCAUGUCCAUACCCCCUUCAACCCCGCCUUCCUCCACCAUCCCCCUCCAAUAACUACUCUGUGUUUCAGUCUCAGUCUCAGGGAAAGCCAGUGUACACCAGUGGAGGUGGUGGUAUUGGAGGAGGUGGUGAAACUCCUACUCAGAAGUUUGUGAGUUAUGACACAGAACUGGGCCGUUCAGAGGGCAUGACCACCUGCACUUCCUGUCAACAACAGGUGAUGACGAACGUGACCUAUAAAGUCGGAGCCUACGCCUGGCUCAUGUGCAUCCUCUUCAUCCUCUGUGGGUUGGUAGUGGGCUGCUGUCUGAUCCCGUUCUUCAUGAAACACUUUAAGGAUGCGUACCACUCCUGUCCUCGUUGCAACCGCAUUAUCCACGUGGACAAGCCACGCUGCUGCUGACCGCCAUACCACCACCCACCACUAGGAGAGCUGUUGCUGACUGCCAUACCACCACCCACCACUAGGAGAGCUGCUGCUGACCGCCAUACCACCACCCACCACUAGGAGAGCUGUUGCUGACUGUCAUACCACCACCCACCACUAGGAGAGCUGUUGCUGACCGCCCUACCACCACCCACCACUAGGAGAGCUGCUGCUGACUGCCACAACAUCGCCCAACACUAGGGGAGCUGUUGCUGACUGCCAUACCACCACCCACCACUAGGAGAGCUGCUGCUGACUGCCACACCAUCGCCGACCACUAGGGGGAGCUGGUGCUGUGGCCAAUAUGCUUUACUACCAGCAGGGGAGCUGUGGCUCUACUCUCAGUCUGACCACUGGCCACUCUCUCGGUCUGGAUUCCAUUAGAAGAGCACCAGUACAGUGAAAUGCCUUUCUCACAGAAAACAUGCUCCCUUUCCCUCAUGCACCCACAGCUCGGUGUAGGAAUUUGAGAGUGGUUAUAUUUAUCCAGCCCCAUCCCUCGGCUGUUUACCAAUGCAGUGGCAGGGCCAAGGUGACAGUUUUGGUAGUUCUUUGAAUUGCAGAUUGUCCUUUUAAAUUUCGGGCUUCAAUACGGCUCUUAUCUACACUCUUUCAGAACAGCGAGGGAGAGGAAAAGGGGGGGAUGUUUUCAGAAUGGAAUCCAGCCCAAGGGAGAGACCCCCUAGCAGCAGCCCCACAGAAACCUACAGGAUUACACAGUCGUAGGAUGAAUCCCAAAAUGGCACCCUACUCCCUAUAUAGUGCACUACGUUCGAGAGGGAGCUAGUACAAAAGUAGUCCACUACAUAGGGUAUAGGGUACAAUUUGGGACGCACUUUAGUUUAAAUGCUGACCGAACUUACUGUACCAGAGGGUUGUAAAUAGUAUGAAUCUGUGACCUAUUUUUUGUAAUAUAAAAAUUAAAACAAGCUAGCAGAUGAAGACGUGGUAGAGCUCAACCUGGGCCUUGUUCGCAAAGGGAGCAGGGUUGCACAGUUCUAGUAACCGACCCAGGUUUUCCACAAACCCCAGGUUGGAAUAUUGGCAUAUGAGAAGGGAAGAGGGUAGCCUGGGUACCAGUCUGUUAAGAUAUCAUUCCACUCUUUGUCUUGGCAAACGUGGCUUGACAAAGAGUGGAAUGUUAACACACAAACAGACUGGAUUUCUCCAGGCUAGGAAGAGGCAGAACAUAUGGGAAUACGCCAACCGGGACGUCUGAUUGGUUCCCGGACUAUUGCAACCCCUUGAGUAGCCUUACACAGAACCUUCAGAUAGAAAUGUGUUGUGUAGAACAGACAUGAUUCCCUGGUAAAUGUAUAUCUAUAUUCUCUUGAGUAACCUUACACACAUUUCUAUCUGAAGGUUGUGUAUAUCUGUCGGUUGGUCAACCCAGGGCCUUAAUCAAGGGAAUAUAGAUAGUAACGUAUACAUUUACCAGGGAAUCAUCUCUGUUCUACACAACACAUUUCUAUCUAUAUUCCCUUGAAUAAGGCCCUUGGUUGACCAUCCGACAGACAUCGAGCCCAAUAAUCAGAUAAUUAUCAUUAUAGCUAUGAUUCCUACAGAUCGGGCGUCAUUUAGUGCUCUCCCCAGGUCUCCCCCCCUCCCCC